Acanthopagrus latus (yellowfin seabream) is the source of this 1504-nucleotide long non-coding RNA. RefSeq lists it as uncharacterized. The record is from RefSeq and is a predicted model, not a curated record. NCBI's taxonomy places the organism in Eukaryota, Metazoa, Chordata, Actinopteri, Spariformes, Sparidae. The transcript is spliced from 5 exons.
UCAGCAUUAGCUGUAUAACUGAUACACACUGUUGGGCAGAUAAUAUUAAACCAAAUUACUUCUUUUCUCUUUUUGAAAUCAAAAACAUGUGAAAUUAAAGGUUUUGAUAACAGUCUCGGCCUGUAAUCAUGCAUCUCUAGCAAAAUGUUCUACCUGGGAGCAUGUUGACCUAAUUAACAACAUACUGUAUUUAUGCACAUAUAUUUAGGUUGUAUUACGAUGCAUAAAAUAUACAUUUGCAACAUUAGUUGGGGAUGUUGGGGUAUUUCAGUGUCUCUGAUUUUUGUGUUUGGCAUUUUUGACCAAAUACCUCAAUGUUGAUACUUUCACCAAAUAUGAACACAAUUGAGAUUUUUGAUAAGUAACAAUCAGAUAUGAGGAUGUAAUGACUAAGUGUUAGAAGAACAGCCUGCAGACUUGCAUCACUUUUACUGUGAUGCAGCCUUUAAAACCAGGAAAGGACAACAGCUUUGCCACAUCACAAAAUCUCAAGCAUAUUGCCCAGCCAAAACCAACAGCCUGUUUCAGAAUCACUGCAAUGUCUCUUCAGUAGCAGUCCAGAAGUUAUUGAUCAUAUUACAGUCAUGACAUUUUCGGAGGAUUUAAAGAGAGGAAGAGGAAAUCAAACUUUGAGCCUUUUAAACCAAUAUGGCUGUUAGAGGCUCACAAAACAAGGAAACCACAACAGGGAAAUAUGAAGAAGUUCAUUUUUUUAAGACACUUGGUAAACUCCAUCUGCUGAUGAAUGUCAUGUCACUUGAUCAAAAGCUAGAGGAAGAGUUUGUGGACAGCUGUGUGAGCUUUGCCACUGAUGUGUCUGCAGCCACGCAUGUUAAUCAGGAUUUAGCAGCAGAGGUGAUUCAUCAACUUAAGUCAGUGAAAGUGAAACCUGGCGCUGCUGGAUGAACGUAAACCCAUAACUUUAGGUUUCGUAUGUCACCCUGUCAUAUACGUCAACAGUGCAACUUGAAGUAUCUCACGUAAAUUAAGUAGCUUAGCGACACACACAGCCACCGACCAUCUGGACAGAUGAGAGUCAUGCUGCAGAUCUCUGAGGGGAAGCAGGCUGCGUAGACUCCGGCUACAUUUCCCCCCAUGGAGGUUCCAACCAGAUGGAAAGGCUUCCUGUUUAAGCGAAUGGCUUCAACAAACUAAGACAAUUCUUCGGUGUACCUGAUGGAUCCUCCUGACUUGCCCCUGGAUAGAAUAAUCCUCUGUGUUGGAGUAGCAGAAGCGAUAGCCUCCGCAGUCUGCAUAGCGCACCUGCAGGCCCAGAGUCCUCCUCCAGUACCUGAAGGAGAGCAGAGCCUCCCUUCAUCACUGACUGGGUACCUGCUCCAGGUUAUGUAAUGACAGAAAAGAAAAACUCCAGUCAUGUUCUUGACACAUUUCUGAUGGCAGUACAUCAUUGAUGGGAAACACUUGAACAAAUAAAAACACUCGAUUUGUUUGCUGCUCUGGACAAAAGCAUCUAGCAACAAAUUACUCUAAUGUGUAAUAUGAU